UUGUACUACGAUGCAGUAAAU
Molecule: non-coding RNA, 21 nt
Organism: Caenorhabditis elegans
Lineage: Eukaryota; Metazoa; Nematoda; Chromadorea; Rhabditida; Rhabditidae
Source: Ensembl